GAGAAGGUCACACCCGUUCCCAUCCCGAACACGGUAGUUAAGCUUCUCUGCGCCAAUGGUAGUUGGGGGCUUCCCCCCUGCGAGAGUAGGUCGCUGCCGGGC
This 102-nucleotide ribosomal RNA is filed under the name Listeria seeligeri. Lineage: Bacteria; Bacillati; Bacillota; Bacilli; Caryophanales; Listeriaceae. The record is from RNAcentral.